This is a long non-coding RNA of Phycodurus eques (leafy seadragon), 184 nucleotides long. RefSeq lists it as uncharacterized. Lineage: Eukaryota; Metazoa; Chordata; Actinopteri; Syngnathiformes; Syngnathidae. The transcript is spliced from 3 exons. The record is from RefSeq and is a predicted model, not a curated record.
GCUGACAGCAUCCCGUCGUCCUCACGCCGCUGCUGCUCUCCACACAUUUCCACAAGUAUUGGCUCCAACCCUUUCCAACAUCUGGAGAGGAGCGCCGUUUCGUGGGAGGCUUCCGUCUUAAGCGGCCAAACUGAUUCUAAAAGAUUUACUUCAAAGAGACUUUCUGUAUCUUUCACAGCAUGAC